Molecule: ribosomal RNA, 497 nt
Filed under: uncultured bacterium
Lineage: Bacteria
Description: partial 16S ribosomal RNA
Rfam family: Bacterial small subunit ribosomal RNA
Source: RNAcentral
ACUCAAAUGAAUUGACGGGGACCCGCACAAGCAGUGGAGUAUGUGGUUUAAUUCGAAGCAACGCGAAGAACCUUACCAGGUCUUGACAUCCCUCUGAAUACAUUAGAGAUAGUGUAGGCCUUCGGGACAGAGGAGACAGGUGGUGCAUGGUUGUCGUCAGCUCGUGUCGUGAGAUGUUGGGUUAAGUCCCGCAACGAGCGCAACCCUUGAUUUUAGUUGCCAGCAUUCAGUUGGGCACUCUAGAAUGACUGCCGGUGACAAACCGGAGGAAGGUGGGGAUGACGUCAAAUCAUCAUGCCCCUUAUGACCUGGGCUACACACGUACUACAAUGGCCGGUACAACGGGGUGCAAUACCGCGAGGUGGAGCGAAUCCUUAAAAGCCGGUCUCAGUUCGGAUUGCAGGCUGCAACUCGCCUGCAUGAAGUCGGAAUUGCUAGUAAUCGCGGAUCAGCAUGCCGCGGUGAAUACGUUCCCGGGUCUUGUACACACCGCCCGU